RNAcentral lists this ribosomal RNA (492 nucleotides) under uncultured bacterium. RNAcentral's name for it is "partial 16S ribosomal RNA". It matches the Rfam family "Bacterial small subunit ribosomal RNA", at positions 29 to 507 of the family's 1533-position model. The record is from RNAcentral.
AGUGAACGCUGGCGGUAGGCCUAACACAUGCAAGUCGAACGGCAGCACAGUAAUAGCUUGCUCUUACGGGUGGCGAGUGGCGGACGGGUGAGGUAUACAUCGGAAUCUACUUUUUCGGGGGGGAUAACGUAGGGAAACUUACGCUCAUACAGCAUACGCCCUACGGGUGAAAGCAGUGGAUCUUCGGACCUUGCGCGAUUGAAUGAGCCGAUGUCGGAUUAGCUAGUUGGCGGGGUAAAGGCCCACCAAGGCGACGAGCCGUAGCUGGUCUGAGUGGAUGAUCAGCCACACUGGAACUGAGACACGGUCCAGACUCCUACGGGAGGCAGCAGUGGGGAAUAGUGGACAGUGGGCGCGAGCCUGAUCCAGCCAUACCGCGUGGGUGAAGAAGGCCUUCGGGUUGUAAAGCCCUUUUGUUGGGAAAGAAAAGCAGCAGGUUAAUACCCCGCUGUUCUGACGGUACCCAAAGAAUAAGCACCGGCUAACUUCGUG